RNAcentral lists this long non-coding RNA (324 nucleotides) under Ananas comosus (pineapple). Its description in RNAcentral is "long non-coding RNA (ACOM_LNC011141)". Lineage: Eukaryota; Viridiplantae; Streptophyta; Magnoliopsida; Poales; Bromeliaceae. The record is from RNAcentral.
CUCCAUAAAUUUUUGAUCAAAUUUAUAAUAUAAUGAGUCUGCUUACUAUACUCUUAUAAGUAUAGUCUCUUUUAUACUCAUAAAGUUUUGACAGUUAGACAUACCCCUUUAAUCGUUUUCAUGGAUUAGAUCAUACUAUUCAACCAACCACCCGCUCAAUCUUAGCGGUCACUAUCAUUCUAAUCGGAGACCACUAUCAUCUUAACCGCAUAUUUCUUCAUCCAACAGCUAAAAAUUUAUGAGUAUAAAAAACUCUAUAUUUAUAAUAAUAUGCUAGCCGAACUCUCUCUCUCUCUCUCUGUUUAUAUAUAUAUAUAUAUAUAU